Molecule: non-coding RNA, 30 nt
Filed under: Homo sapiens (human)
Lineage: Eukaryota; Metazoa; Chordata; Mammalia; Primates; Hominidae
Source: RNAcentral
AUGUAGAGCAACAUUCAGUCUACGAUGGUA